AGCGAACGCUGGCGGCAGGCUUAACACAUGCAAGUCGAACGCCCCGCAAGGGGAGUGGCAGACGGGUGAGUAACACGUGGGAACGUACCCUUUGGUUCGGAAUAACUUGGGGAAACUCAAGCUAAUACCGGAUAAGCCCUUAUGGGGAAAGGUUUACUGCCGAAGGAUCGGCCCGCGUCUGAUUAGCUAGUUGGCGAGGUAAUGGCUCACCAAGGCGACGAUCAGUAGCUGGUCUGAGAGGAUGAUCAGCCACACUGGGACUGAGACACGGCCCAGACUCCAACGGGAGGCAGCAGUGGGGAAUAUUGGACAAUGGGGGCAACCCUGAUCCAGCCAUGCCGCGUGAGUGAUGAAGGCCUUAGGGUUGUAAAGCUCUUUUACCCGGGACGAUAAUGACUGUACCGGGAGAAUAAGCCCCGGCUAACUUCGUGCCAGCCGCCGCGGUAA
RNAcentral lists this ribosomal RNA (447 nucleotides) under uncultured bacterium. Its description in RNAcentral is "partial 16S ribosomal RNA". It matches the Rfam family "Bacterial small subunit ribosomal RNA", at positions 29 to 523 of the family's 1533-position model. The record is from RNAcentral.